GGUGCCGGCAACUUCCCUACCGUUGAUGGUGCCUCAACAAACGUGCAGAUUGAUGGGAGGGUGAAACUGGUUCCACCACUUUAUUGUGGUCCCAGUUGGUGCCUGGCGCCCUGGCUGAAGGAACUGCCCCGCGAGGCAGCAAUAGGAGAGAACCAGGCAAGGGGCGAGGCAUGCUGGCGCCUCGGAUUCGCUCCCCACGUUGCCUCUGCUGCUUCCUCCAUUCAACCUGUCAGAUCCCACCUCCCUCCUCCUUCCUCCUCUCUAGGUCGGCCAUGGACGGAAGCUUUUAUUCGUGGAUCCGGCAUGGACAGAGCUCGGCACCUCCAUCAAUGGUGGCAAGAACAAAGGAUUCGACUGAUGCAACUGAUGCUGGAACCUGGUUGUCAACGGACAUGAAGGAGCAGCUUCGAUGGAGCAAGCGGCAGGCGAAAGCUAUAAGCUGGUACCCUUUCAUGUUGCUUUCUUUUUCGACUUUCAAAGCUGGUACCCAGAUGGUGCAUGGUGUUUAUGCUUGUUUCAGAAAAAAGUCAGGAGCACCAGUUCGAUUUGGUAACUUAGAUUAGGUACCGUGCUAUUUUUUUUUGGAUCUAUGGUAACCAGGAGUUCCAUCAACAAUGGUUUUACAAAAUAUGUUUAUGGAAGCAAGCAUUGGAGAGUCUAUUUGCAACUGCAAACAAAUUAGCAGUUAGUAUAGCAUCAUGACGGCUCCUUAAGGUGUACAGGUUUAAGAUAAUUUCCGUUUCAUUUUUGUUAUUGAAAUUCGUUUAUCUGAAAAGUGCCUCUUCCCGCUAAAAUAUGCCGCCCAGAUAAAUAAAUUAAUGUUUCGUAUUUCUAUUUGAGCAAAGUUAUGCAAACACUUGAAGUCUGAUCCUCCUUGUAUUUAUUGAAUAAAUAAAUUAAUGUUUCAUAUUUCUAUUUGAGAAAUAUUCA
This is a long non-coding RNA of Panicum hallii, 930 nucleotides long. RefSeq lists it as uncharacterized. The record is from RefSeq and is a predicted model, not a curated record. NCBI's taxonomy places the organism in Eukaryota, Viridiplantae, Streptophyta, Magnoliopsida, Poales, Poaceae. The transcript has 2 exons.